CUGGAAGAUCUUUUUUAUUUUCCCUUGCCGCCUCCUAAGCUGGCAACGUCCUGCGAGUGGCUAUUUUGCUUUUGCACCGAGAGAAGAGCUUCCCCCUCGCCCUGUCUUCUGACACUUAUGGAUGAAACCAACACCGAUGUCGAACCUGUAAUGAGCGCCAAUGUUUUGACCUUUCAAUAGAGAGCUGAUUUUGGAGAACGGCUUACUCCUGUGAUUGAAAAACUCUCUGGAAGGUUGAUGGAGCAUAAGCAUGAUAGCCCUGUUAAUUUCCAGAAGUUGUCUAUGAUGACCUGACUGGAAGGCUUAUUGCAAAGGAGUGGCGUGCUUCUUCCAAUGCGU
Hirundo rustica (Barn swallow) is the source of this 339-nucleotide long non-coding RNA. RefSeq lists it as uncharacterized. The transcript has 4 exons. The record is from RefSeq and is a predicted model, not a curated record. NCBI's taxonomy places the organism in Eukaryota, Metazoa, Chordata, Aves, Passeriformes, Hirundinidae.